GACGAACGCUGGCGGCGUGCCUAAUACAUGCAAGUCGAACGAGAGCGACCGGUGCUUGCACUGGUCAAUCUAGUGGCGAACGGGUGAGUAACACGUGGGUAACCUGCCCAUCAGAGGGGGAUAACAUCCGGAAACGGAUGCUAAAACCGCAUAGGUCUUCGAACCGCAUGGUUUGAAGAGGAAAAGAGGCGCAAGCUUCUGCUGAUGGAUGGACCCGCGGUGCAUUAGCUAGUUGGUGAGGUAACGGCUCACCAAGGCCGUGAUGCAUAGCCGACCUGAGAGGGUGAUCGGCCACAUUGGGACUGAGACACGGCCCAGACUCCUACGGGAGGCAGCAGUAGGGAAUCUUCCGCAAUGGACGCAAGUCUGACGGAGCAACGCCGCGUGAGUGAAGAAGGUUUUCGGAUCGUAAAACUCUGUUGUUAGAGAAGAACAAGUGCUAGAGUAACUGUUAGCGCCUUGACGGUAUCUAACCAGAAAGCCACGGCUAACUACGUG
RNAcentral lists this ribosomal RNA (498 nucleotides) under uncultured bacterium. Its description in RNAcentral is "partial 16S ribosomal RNA". It matches the Rfam family "Bacterial small subunit ribosomal RNA", at positions 28 to 507 of the family's 1533-position model. The record is from RNAcentral.